AUUGAACGCUGGCGGCAGGCCUAACACAUGCAAGUCGAACGGUAACAGGGAUCAGCUUGCUGAUUCGCCGACGAGUGGCGGACGGGUGAGUAAUGUCUGGGAAACUGCCUGAUGGAGGGGGAUAACUACUGGAAACGGUAGCUAAUACCGCAUAACGUCGCAAGACCAAAGAGGGGGACCUUCUGGCCUCUUGCCAUCGGAUGUGCCCAGAUGGGAUUAGCUAGUAGGUGGGGUAACGGUUCACCUAGGCGACGAUCCCUAGCUGGUCUGAGAGGAUGACCAGCCACACUGGAACUGAGACACGGUCCAGACUCCUACGGGAGGCAGCAGUGGGGAAUAUUGCACAAUGGGCGCAAGCCUGAUGCAGCCAUGCCGCGUGUAUGAAGAAGGCCUUCGGGUUGUAAAGUACUUUCAGCGGGGAGGAAGGGAGUAAAGUUAAUACCUUUGCUCAUUGACGUUACCCGCAGAAGAAGCACCGGCUAACUCCGUG
This 490-nucleotide ribosomal RNA is filed under the name uncultured bacterium. Its description in RNAcentral is "partial 16S ribosomal RNA". It matches the Rfam family "Bacterial small subunit ribosomal RNA", at positions 30 to 507 of the family's 1533-position model. The record is from RNAcentral.